Molecule: ribosomal RNA, 450 nt
Filed under: uncultured bacterium
Lineage: Bacteria
Description: partial 16S ribosomal RNA
Rfam family: Bacterial small subunit ribosomal RNA
Source: RNAcentral
GUCGAGAAUAAUUCACAAUGGGGGAAACCCUGAUGGUGCAACGCCGCGUGGAGGAUGAAGGUCUUCGGAUUGUAAACUCCUGUCAUCUGGGAGUAAGACCUGACGGUGAAUAGCCGGCAGGGUUGAUAGUACCAGAAGAGGAAGGGACGGCUAACUUCGUGCCAGCAGCCGCGGUAAUACGAAGGUCCCAAGCGUUGUUCGGAAUCACUGGGCGUAAAGGGAGCGUAGGCGGCGUGGUAAGUCAGAUGUGAAAUCCCGGGGCUCAACCCCGGAACUGCAUCCGAUACUGCCAUGCUUGAGGGUUGGAGAGGUAGCUGGAAUUCUCGGUGUAGCAGUGAAAUGCGUGGAUAUCGAGAGGAACACUCGUGGCGAAGGCGAGCUACUGGACAACAUCUGACGCUGAGGCUCGAAGGCCAGGGGAGCAAAAGGGAUUAGAAACCCUGGUAGUCC